Molecule: long non-coding RNA, 692 nt
Filed under: Mus musculus (house mouse)
Lineage: Eukaryota; Metazoa; Chordata; Mammalia; Rodentia; Muridae
Description: long non-coding RNA chr15:76557538-76558230
Source: RNAcentral
CAGUUCCAGGGACCAGAUGUCCUUUUCCAGUUUCUAUGGGCACCAGGUACACACAUGGCACACACACACAUACAGGCCAGAUACUCCUGCACGUCAAAUAAAAUAAUUAAAGCGGUGCUUACUAUGUGUCCUUGACUCUGCCCAGCCUUUCGUUUCUUCCUUUUAUAGCCAAGAUAAAAAGCCUUAGAUUGCUAUGCUAAUUUAUCCGUUAUAUGACUGGAAAUGUUUUCCACUGGUAUAAUCAUCUAGUUUCUGUUUUCAUUCCCUCUACAGGACUGAAAGAUCUCAUUUGAUCAGGAUUCAGUACUACGUGUAUAUUCUAACCUGCUUUACCUGAUCUACAGAAUUAGAUUCAAAGUACGUCAGAUAGCACCAUCCUUUUUUGGUGAACAGCUUUGGGACUGGAUCUCCGGGUUGUAUGUGCUGUAAGUUUUGUUGAGGCCAGUCGUCCUCCCCUUCUCCACCCCCAGCAUAGUUGUAGCCAUUUUGUUCUAUGCCUGCCAGCUGCUUGCCAGUCAUUGACGAAGAAAAGUAGCUUGAGUCAGCAGGGUCACGUUGACCACGUUUCCUGCUAUGUUCUGUAUGUCCUGAGGGUUGUUAUUCUUAAGAGGUUUGACAACCAUAAGCUCAAUUUAGGACCAAUCAGAAUAAAGCUCCUGGAGGCUGGAGAGAUGGUUCAAGCGGUUAAGAGC